RNAcentral lists this ribosomal RNA (455 nucleotides) under uncultured bacterium. RNAcentral's name for it is "bacterial SSU rRNA". It matches the Rfam family "Bacterial small subunit ribosomal RNA", at positions 29 to 524 of the family's 1533-position model. The record is from RNAcentral.
AGCGAACGCUGGCGGCAGGCUUAACACAUGCAAGUCGAACGGGCGUAGCAAUACGUCAGUGGCAGACGGGUGAGUAACGCGUGGGAACGUACCUUUUGGUUCGGAACAACCCAGGGAAACUUGGGCUAAUACCGGAUAAGCCCUUACGGGGAAAGAUUUAUCGCCAAAAGAUCGGCCCGCGUCUGAUUAGCUAGUUGGUGAGGUAACGGCUCACCAAGGCGACGAUCAGUAGCUGGUCUGAGAGGAUGAUCAGCCACAUUGGGACUGAGACACGGCCCAAACUCCUACGGGAGGCAGCAGUGGGGAAUAUUGGACAAUGGGCGCAAGCCUGAUCCAGCCAUGCCGCGUGAGUGAUGAAGGCCCUAGGGUUGUAAAGCUCUUUUGUGCGGGAAGAUAAUGACGGUACCGCAAGAAUAAGCCCCGGCUAACUUCGUGCCAGCAGCAGCCGCGGUAAC